This 763-nucleotide long non-coding RNA is filed under the name Equus caballus (horse). RNAcentral describes it as "lncRNA (ENSECAG00000058029.1)". The record is from RNAcentral. Lineage: Eukaryota; Metazoa; Chordata; Mammalia; Perissodactyla; Equidae.
CUCUCCUGCACCCUCCCUCUUUCCCACUGCCGUCCAUGGUGAGUAGGAGGGAGGUGCAGUCCCCAACUCCUACCCCCCAGGUCUGUGUUACUUGGUUUUUAAAUGAUUGGUCAGGAUAAAACCCUAAAGAAAUAAAACUUUCAGUGGAUUCCAGGAAAAAAACACACCAUCACAUCAUGCCACACCAUCAUGCAGCAUGUCGGGGAGAUGAUCCCAAAUUCUGGCAAGGGUGUAAAGAAAUGGAUCCCUCAUAUAUUGCUGCAUGCGCAUUCUUCUGGGAGCAUGCCCCUGUUUCUGGGAACUGCUCCUGCACCACUGCCAUGCGGAUCCCAUCCAAGAUCUGUCCAUAGCUCCACCCCCCAGUCACAUUUGCUUGUUUCAGAAGUAGCAUCUGAUUAUUUAUUUAUUUAUUUAUACCUAGUUAUUUUUGCAUUGGAACUGAGAAAGCUAAUCAGUUUCUUUCCAGUGGUACAAUUAAUAAGAAACACCGCUUUGGAAUUGUUGGUGGCUAUAGUUCCCACCAAAGUCGACACAAAAAUGAGCAUAUGCCUGGGAUCCUGGCACAGUCCUUCCUCAUCUGGCCCAGCGGGUCUCUGGAUCAUUUGUUGUAUGCUGAGACUUUCUUGAUCUGGCAACAUGUGGGAUGGUAAACUGUCAAGAAGAGAAAAGGAGACAGUAAUGCCUAGGUCCUUCCAUUUCCUUGAGAUUAAUUUUAUAUUACAACAAAAGAAGAGAAUGAAUGAAUAAAUGCGAUGUUCUUGCA